CUUGUAGUGAAAUGGUAUCACGCCUGACUGUGACUCAAGCAGUGUGGGUUCAAUUCCCACCAG
RNAcentral lists this transfer RNA (63 nucleotides) under bovine gut metagenome. It matches the Rfam family "tRNA", at positions 6 to 65 of the family's 71-position model. Rfam says of the family: Transfer RNA (tRNA) molecules are approximately 80 nucleotides in length. Their secondary structure includes four short double-helical elements and three loops (D, anti-codon, and T loops). The record is from RNAcentral.